AGAGCGAACGCUGGCGGCAUGCUUAACACAUGCAAGUCGCACGGGCACUUCGGUGUCAGUGGCGGACGGGUGAGUAACGCGUAGGUAUCUAUCCUUGGGUGGGGGACAACUGUGGGAAACUACAGCUAAUACCGCAUGAUAACUGAGGUUUAAAGGCGCAAGUCGCCUGGGGAGGAGCCUGCGUACGAUUAGCUAGUUGGUGGGGUAAAGGCCUACCAAGGCUGCGAUCGUUAGCUGGUCUGAGAGGAUGAUCAGCCACAUUGGGACUGAGACACGGCCCAAACUCCUACGGGAGGCAGCAGUGGGGAAUAUUGGACAAUGGGCGCAAGCCUGAUCCAGCAAUGCCGCGUGUGUGAAGAAGGUCUUCGGAUUGUAAAGCACUUUCGACGGGACGAUGAUGACGGUACCCGUAGAAGAAGCCCCGGCUAACUUCGCGCCAGCAGCCGC
RNAcentral lists this ribosomal RNA (447 nucleotides) under uncultured bacterium. RNAcentral describes it as "SSU rRNA". It matches the Rfam family "Bacterial small subunit ribosomal RNA", at positions 26 to 518 of the family's 1533-position model. The record is from RNAcentral.